AGAAGGGAAGUGAAUUGAGUUAAUUUGAAGUGGAGUUGCUGAUGAUGAGAGUAUAAUUGGCAUGAGCUGCGACAAUAUUUUGCGCACCAAGUUCUUUUUGAGACAUGGGUUGUUGUUGCAAUGAAGAAUGUGCCGAAAUGCUAAUCUGAGCCUCUCUAUCUUCAUCUUAGGUUAUUGUUCUUUUGUGAAAUUUUGGCUUAAAGGACAAUACUCGGUCUUCUCCUUAGGAUCUAAUAUAUCUCUGUUUGCAUAUAACCUCUCUGUUACCAUUUGAUAGAUGCUAAGAGGGCUGGAUGAAGUUCUUAAAAGGAGUGUGGAUUGGUAGAAAUCGUGAAAAUUAUGUAUUGUUACAUUAAUUUUCUGAUUAUUUCAAAAAAAAAUUUAAGAACUGCAAGAGGAUGCGGUUGGCAAAAUAUUGGUGCAUUUGUGAAUCUAGGGACAUACUAUUUAGUCAGAAAUCCAUCAGCUAUUGUGGUAGCUUUUGUAUUUCAUGUUGGAGACAAGGUUCUGACAUGUUUUAUAUU
Lotus japonicus is the source of this 524-nucleotide long non-coding RNA. RefSeq lists it as uncharacterized. The transcript is spliced from 3 exons. The record is from RefSeq and is a predicted model, not a curated record. Lineage: Eukaryota; Viridiplantae; Streptophyta; Magnoliopsida; Fabales; Fabaceae.